GAAAGGGUCUUAAUUUUUUAAGUUGACGUUUGUUUAUUAAUUUGACAAAUGUGUAGAUAGAGAAGCACCUUGAUGCUUCCGGGUGUUUCCACAUAGACAUUAGGCACAAUGGAUUUCAUAUGAUGACUAUUUAGUGUACUGUUUACAGCAAAAUGCCGCUACGGCGAAGACGAGAUGCCACCGAAGUGAGCUGCUGCAUCAAAUAUUUGAUGUUUGCCUUCAAUGUUCUCUUCUGGAUUAUCGGUGGCUCACUGUUUUGUAUAGGAAUAUGGGCAUGGAUAGAGAAAGACAUGUUUGCAAACAUCGGCAAACUGACAAACAUUUCACUGGACCCGGCUCUGUUGUUCAUUCUGUGUGGAGGUGUUAUGUUCAUCAUUGGAUUUACAGGCUGUGUCGGAUCUCUCAGGGAAAACACGUGUUUACUGCUUUUUUUUAUGGUAGCUGUAGGACUGAUCUUCUUCCUAGAACUCUUACUGGGAAUUUUGGGAUUUGUGUAUAAAAACUGGGUCAAAGAUCAGAUAGAGAGUCAGGUAACCAAUAUGAUAGUACAGUACAGGGAGGAUGCUGAUCUUCAAAACUUGGUCGACUGGGUGCAGCAAGACUGGCUCGAUUGCUGUGGCAUACAGAGCUACAAUGACUGGGAGUUUAACAUGUACUUCAACUGUACAUCUCCAGGAGUAGAAGCUUGUGGUGUUCCGUUUUCUUGUUGUAAAGAUACAGGGAGUGCAAUUAUAAACAGGCAAUGUGGCUUUGAUAUGAUGAAAACAACACAUGAAAUAGACCGCACUACAAAGAUUAAAGUGAUUGGCUGUAUGCCUGCUGGGGAAAAGUGGUUAGAAACCAAUCUUAUUCCUGUGGCAGGUGUGGCUGUUGGUGUAGCUUUAUUGCAGAUUUUGGGAAUAUGCUUUGCUCAGAACUUACGAAGUGAUAUACAAGCACAGCGUGCCAAGUGGCACUAUUGACUAGUGGCCGGGAGACACGAGUUGUCUCCCUUGCAGAGAACUACUGCUGUCUGAUUUCGUCCAGUUUCACUGAACAAUAAUGGUGAUAUUUUACAGACCAUCAAACUUACUCUUUAAUUAUAGUGUGGCAAGACUAAUACUGAUGUUUUAAUCAUCACUUCAGAAGACAGUUCACACUAGGGACCAAUCAUAUUACACUUUUGUUUUACAGUUACAAAUUGUGCAAAAACUAAACAAAUGUUAACAGUACUGUAGAUUUCUUUUUCAUGUUUCACAGAUAUAAUGAGAUUUAGGAAAGAAAUACUGCAAGUGAUAUUUGUUUUUAACACUUGCAUUGCAAUCCCACCUGUUACUGGCAAGCAGGGGUUAUAUUAGCCCCACUAGUUACGAAAAGUAAGUGCUUACUUCGUUGUUUUAUUUCCCACCAUUGUCUAUGUUUUGUUUCUAUGCAAACCAGUAGAGCCGAAUUUGUGAAGAGUGGUGAGCACAAUUUUGUGUAAUACCUAGGACACACUUUCCGAUUAACACUGUAACACUGACUAGACAGUCGAGUUGGCUGUAGUGUGAAAAUGUGAGUCAACACACACCAGCCAAUGUGAUGAUCUUGUUGGCAUUACGAAGGUUCUGAUUACAGACAAAAUUACAGACUAUAUGUAACAGUAGCAUCUUUGCUCAGCAGACACCUACCAAGUAAUGAGUUCAGAGAUGUCAGUAUGGCUGAAAUGAUGGUUUUGUCGGGAAGUGUGUGCCAGGCUUAAUUCUUAAACAUGGACAAGAUAAAACUUGUGUGCAUGCGGUUAAACACCAGCAUGCUAUUGUACCACAUAGAGAAUACGACAUGGGUGGCUGUUGGAUAUCAUUUAUCUUGCAACAUAUUUUAAAACAUCUAAUGAGAGGAAGUGUGUUGAUACAUUUUUGAACAAUGUGCUGUGAGAUAAAUAAUAUCUAACAGACAUGAAUGUAGUGUUCUAUUCUUGCAUAUGCUCAAAAACCAGGUUAAAAUAAAUUUAUAUGUCUUCUCCAACCAUUUGCAUGUAUGGUGCUUGCGCUUUUGCAUCCAAAGUAAUCGGUUUCAGGUUAACUUAUUAAUCACAAAGAUAACAAUUUCUAUUAUAUCUCUUUCAUUAGAUGGUAUAGCUGUGGUGGCCUGGUCAUCAUCACCAAGGAGUAGCUAGUGUUUUUCUUUAGAUUGAUAAUACACAUUUUUGUGGUAUUGGUGUGUGUUAUCAUAAAUAACAUAUAUUCUCACCAACAGGUGUGUAAAAAAUAUCUGUUAUAGUACAAGUUUGACCUUAAUUCUGUGAGCUACAUAUGUGUCACCUCCACUCCUAUUUAUUCUCAAACUGCAUGAAAAUGUCCAUUAAAUAAUGAAUAAAUUACAAUUAUUUACAUUUUAAUUAUGAUGUAACGCUGCAGGCUAUUGUAGGGAUCUACUAGUCUAAGAUAUAAGUAAGGAGAGUGGUGUUUUUUACUUGUUAAAUUAGUGAAUCCAUGUAUUUAUUUAGCAGACAUACUUAUACGAACUGUGCUCAUAUCUUAUUACCAAAUAAUAAUUAGAUCAGGCGUAAAUACGGCAAUGGUGUAUUUAUAGAAUUAUUUUCAUAGUCUCAUUAACACAAAUAUUAUUCUUACAUCUGUGGCUUUCAUUUCUUAUUGAUUUUAUAUUAUUGUAUUUGUAGAGGAUGAAGUGGUCUUAAACAUAAUCGCCAUUUCACAAGUACAAAGUCAUUUGUGCUCAUGUUUCUCUUGGCUUAUAAUAAGACGAGAUAAUGGUACUUAAUUAUUUUAGCUUUAAGUUCAUCUCUAAUAACCAUAAAGGUGCAUUCGUGCAAAUUACUUGUGAAUUGACGAUUACUAAUUCAUUUACUAAAUUAUAAAUUAAAUUACAUUCAUCUGAGAUGGAUGCCCCUCCAUAUCCCAACCACUAAUUAACUUCCUGGGACAAUGGCCCAACCUUUCCCACCAAUCCACUCUUCCUUGCAAGGGCUUAAAUAAAUUUUAAAAUAAUAUUAAUUUUAAUAUUUUAAUUUAGAAUGCCCGUUCAUAAAUUGCGACCAAAUUGUUAAAAAAAUUAGUUAUUUUAUUAUUUUGGAAAUGCCGUAAUAUUCAAAAUUGACCCAGAAAAUCAUUUCUGUCCUGAGUCAAGCCCCUGGCUAUACAGAGGCAGGACCCGGGACAGACAUGCUCGAAACUUUCAUGGUAUAUGAGCAUGACAAAAUUAUCUCUCUGCUCAUCUGAGAUUUCUGGUAUAAUAGCGUUCUUAUCUAUAUUAAACAUGUGUGAGCAAUUGUAUGUUACUUAAACAUUCAUUUUACUUGCAUAUUUGUGUUCAAAUAACUAGACUGUGGAGACACUAAACAUGUCGCUCAUUUAUCUACAUUUUAUUAGAUACCUUAAUACCAGCAUGCUGCUCAUAUGUCUUCAUUUAUCAAAAUAACAUGUUGCUCAUGUUUCUACAGUUAAUGGAAUAGUACAUAUUGCUCAGGUAUCUAUAGUAACAUAACAUUUUUCACAAUCAUUGAGCAAUGCACAUUGUAGGCACCAUAAUUUUCCGACCAAUAUCAUGUUACUUAUUUAUAUACAUUUUGGACACCAUCUUAUUUUUGUAUAUCUACUGGGCCACAGGAAAAUGUCAAGACGUCAGUGUCACCCUGUUAAUGUAUUUAUGUCAGUCUGGAAUGACUAACCACAUGUCGAAGGACGGUUUGAAAUGCCUAUUUGUUGUCGAUCAAAAUAGGUUUAUGUGAACAAUUAGUUUUACGUUUAUUUUUCUCAAGGGAGAUAAUAAAGAUGCUGGAAAACAUUUGUGGAUGUUUUGUCCAUUAAACCCCCACCCCCCACCCCACCCCACCCCCCACCCCCCAUUUUUUUUUUUUUUAUAAACCCCCGUCAUUUUGGAAAAGAAAUUUGUCUUAGAACAUGUAAACUAUUUUUAGAAUAACUUUUUGAAGGUCAUACAAUUUAGGCAGAAAUCAGUGUACUGCUUAUAGAAAUAACAAGAUUAGAAAUGAAUACCUCUUGUGAGUGUUUGGCCAAUUUCAAACCAUUUGCCAUUUUCACAUUAUAUUGAUAAAGAUGUUGAUAUAUGUUGCUCAGUUUUAAAAUAGGAGUUGAGAUUAUUUCCUUGUUUCCACUACAAAAAUCAAAUAUAAAAUCAGUUAUCUACAUUACAUGUAAGUAUAAGUAGUAAUACAUAAUUAUUGAAAUCUAUUUUCAUAAAAAAAAGAGUGUUGUAACAAUGUUUGAUAUGUUUUGAAUAUUGUGAUAAUCCAUUUACCUGUCAACAAUUGUACAAACUUACAAGCAUGUUUUCUUUAUAUUAUCAGUUAUAUCAUUUUUUAUUAUAGAUAUGAAUUUACUUUCUAUGAAACAUUUGUAAAUAUAUGCACAGUCAUAUCUGGAUGCCUUUCACUCGUUACUUUUGAUUUGAUUUUCAAUUGCAUAUUUUUUACAUCAAUAAUUGUGAGAUAAUAUAUGAAAAUAAAGUUUUAGUGUUGUAGUAAACCUAACAAAACUUACAUACAUGUAUUUAAAAACUACUUUUUGAAUUGACACAUUGGAUAUUGUACAAAUAUUAACAUCUUACCAAAAAAGACGACUAAUUACAUGAAGAUUGAUCAAGAUUUGUCAUGCGAGAUAAAAACAAUAUUGGGUCAGUGAUGAGGCAAUAUCAACUUUAUGCUCUUCAGGAUAAGAGGAGAAUUGCUUGGCAAAUAUUAUGGAGGUCUCCAAACUUACCUUCACAGGAUAAAGCGGACCUAAGCAAAAAUGAUUAGAAUGCAUCAUGUUCCUGAUUGUUGUUAGUGUUCUUAAAAUUGGUUCCUGUUAAUGCAAAACUAUAAUAAUCAUCAAAUUUCAUAAUACAAGCAGUUAUUCUCAUCUUUAUUAUAAAAAAAAUUUCCCGUUAUAACAACUUACUUGAUUAAUUUGGCAAGUGUUUACAAUUAUAAUUUUAUCAUACAGUUAAAAGGUUUGUUGUUUUGUGUAAGAAGCAAACUUGAUGAAAGUUUAAUGUUUAUUUUAUUGGAUUUUUUUUUUUUUACAAAUCUGGAGGGUAGGUAAGAAUGAAAAAGAAAACACUUACAAGUCUCAUUUUAGAUUAUGCCAGAUAUACCAUUGUCUUGCUCUUUUGAGUUGAUGUUUUCUCAUUACAGUUUUUUCUUUUCCUUAAACUGGUUGGCAUUUUUUCAAAACAGGAAUAUGUUUCAAGUACAUAACACUUUUAAGUAUGUAUGGGGGAUCACAAAAUGUUCAUGGAGAUAGAAAGGUAUGUUUGUCAAGACUUAAGUAAAUGCUUUCAAAACCAUAUGUCAUUUUUGUUUUGCCUUAAUAAAGUAAAUAGGUGAGAUAUGGGUAUUACUUCCUUGACAGCAACAACAGCAGCAACUUUUGUAUUAAAGUUUUACAUACAGAUCCAGUUCUCUCAAACUAUAAGUCCUAGAUUAGUGAAACUUGGUUUAUAGUUGCACCUGUAUAUGUUCAUCACAGUGGUCCAAAAACGUUUAUGGUAGGUAAGACAUUUAAUUCCAAAGAAGUCUUGUUAUUCAUAAAUGAAUUACCGGCAGUAAUGGCCAAUUUUUCUAGUACAGAUGCUUUUUGAAUGAAGUAUUUAUUACUAUCCAGCAAACAAAUCAAAAAUAUUAACAAGAAACCAAAUAAUCUUAUUCGAAUUAUGUCUUGGUGACCGUGAAAGGAAUGGAUUGAUGAGUAUUACAUAAGUUCAAAGGAAGGAGUGGUCUCCAUGUAUACAAAUGGCCUGAAUUUUCAUUACAUAUUUGUUGAAAUCGCAAAUCUUUUAUACGGUAUGUGAAAUAAAAAAUUUAACAUCCUUUUUUUCUUUCUUUUCUUAGUGCUAAUUUGUGUGACUAAAUAAAUGUCAAUUGUGAUAGGUAGUAGAUUUAUUUUUACCUGUAUAUACAUUACAAAUUUGUUUUGUUUUUUAAAACUUUUUGUUAAUUUAUGUUGCUUCUCAGUUUACCAAAUUGUACUACAUCAAUAGUACAUGUAUCACUGGAUGAAUGAAGGCGAUUAAUUUGUUGAUGUCAGCAGCUUUUUUUUUCACUGAAUCAGACUGCUAUAUUUUAAAAUUUUAGAAUCUAGCUUUGAAGCUCCUAUACAAAGCUUUACAUUUAUCCAAAGAAAAUGUUUUUUUAUCAAGUUAUCAUUGGUAUCCGAUAAUGUUUAUAUUGACAUUUGGGAGGAUGUUUGUUUUGUUUUGUUUUUUGUUUUGUUUUCUGUGUACACCAAAUAUAGAAUCUUUAAUUCCUGGAGAAAUUAAAAAAGUAGUUUUUAAACUUUUCUGCUAAUAUUUUAUUGUAGGAUAUUUCAGAUUUAGUUUUGGUUAACAUUUUGUGUAAACUCAAAAUUAAGUAAUUUCUGUAUGUUGAACUAUGUCCCUGUUAUUCACUAUUAUUUUAUAUAUUUUAAGCUUAGGCAUUUUAUCAAAAAUCUUUUGUAAACAUUUUAUAUUGCAUGUAUUUGUUCAUUUGAAAUAUUAAGCUGUCACCUUUAGCGUAACAAAUGUGCAUUAUGAUUACAAGGGAUAGGUGUUAUAAGCAUGUGCUUGUUUGCCAAUUCCAUUCCUAACAUUGGAAGUAAAUAUUAUUUAAAAUAUAUAUAUGUAUAUUAAGAUGCACGUAAGUAUAUAAAUAUUUACUAUCAUCAUUCAGUAAAUUAUUCAAUGUCCUCUCUGUACUCAAAUGUGCAAUCCUUUUGAUUUGUUCUGUAAAUUAUUUCUGAAGCAUUAACUGUUAUAUUCAACAAUAUUUAUUACCGCCUUUGGUCUUGUUCAGAUUUGAUGUUCAAAUUGUCAAGAACAUGGUAUAUGGUUAGUCAGUAACCAUGGACUCAGUCUGAUUAGUUUAUUUUAAUUUUUAACUGACAAUGUAUCUGGUCACUGGAUCUGGUGUCAUCGUAAUGACUCAUCCUGAUUAACAUUACAUUGUUGUAAAUAAUUCUUUGCAAUGUGAUCAGACUUCAGGCUGUAUAUAUUUUUAUUUUUAUUGAAUUUAAAUUUGACUGCUUUGAUUUAAAAUAGGUCGAAGUGUUAUUUUCAAACUGAAGUGAAUUUAAAUUUGACUGCUUUGAUUUGAAAUAGGUCGAAGUGUUAUUUUCAAACUGAAGUGAAUUUAAAUUUGACUGCUUUGAUUUAAAAUAGGUCGAAGUGUUAUUUUCAAACUGAAGUGAAUUUAAAUUUGACUGCUUUGAUUUGGAAAAGGUCAAAGUGUUAUUUUCAAACUGAAGUGAAUUUAAAUUUGACUGCUUUGAUUUGGAAAAGGUCAAAGUGUUAUUUUCAAACUGAAGUGAAUUUAAAUUUGACUGCUUUGAUUUAAAAUAGGUCGAAGUGUUAUUUUCAAACUGAAGUGAAUUUAAAUUUGACUGCUUUGAUUUAAAAUAGGUCGAAGUGUUAUUUUCAAACUGAAGUGAAUUUAAAUUUGACUGCUUUGAUUUAAAAUAGGUCGAAGUGUUAUUUUCAAACUGAAGUGAAUUUAAAUUUGACUGCUUUGAUUUGAAAUAAGUCAGUGUCAUUUUCAAAUUGAAGGCAUCGAACUUGGAUAUUAGUAAUUAUCAUACAAGAUGAUAGAGAUAUAUUCACAUUUCUUUUUUUCAAUAAUAUUAAGAGUGAAGUAUAAAAUGGGCUUUGGAUAAAGAAUUAUAUUUGUUUUGUUUUUUAAAAAAGGUAAAGUGGAUUCUAUUAAAAUCGGCAUCUGUAUACAGUUAGACCUCAUUACACAGGUAGACCUCAUUACAAUAACCGUCGUUACUACGACACUUACACCAUCCGACCACAAAUUGUCAGGAACAAACGUACAUCAGUGUUAUUCUGUUCAUUACACCGGAAUUCACACCUUCCAACACCGACAGAGCAAAUUAGGAACAAACAUGCAUCCAACAUCUGAAAACACCUUUUACAAUGACAUUACAUAAUCACAGAUACCGUAGCAUGUUGGCAGUACACACAUACCCACUUAGAAUCCUUGAUCUCGUAGUGAGCCGACUGUGUCACAUGCUGUUCGAGCUACCGAUGUCUGAAAUCUGUAGACAUGUUUUGCUUUUGCAAAUCAGCCUUUUGUUAACCAAUUAAAGGAUUAACUUCGAACAAUAAAAUCUUCUCUUUUCAUGAUAUUUUGUAAACGAAACAGGUACCAAUCGUAGAUGUCUUGAUUGGACUGAAGAUGAAUGUGCCUUGUUUAAUAUAUUUAAUGAUGUUUUUUAAAACACAUUUAAUAUAUGUACCUGCAUUUGUGUUUUGAUAAUAAUCGCAAUGCAUUAAUUAUUUAAAUGCUAUUCAGUCAUCAGUUAACAUUAAUUAGUAUUUUUUGUUACGUUAUUUUGGCAAUGGAGAUAACUCAUUACAAUUUGAUACACCGGCAAUUUCGAUAUAACGACAAAGAGACCCAGGGACAAACAUGGUCGUUGUAACGAGGUCUGACUGUAAUUACAAUUUUUAUGUAACCUGGCACAAUCCCAUCCAGUGUAUUAAAUUUGUUGCAUAAAGGGAUGUGUUUAUCCGUACUCUCGUAGAUUAAUAUUUUGCAGGUUUUGGGAACCUUUAGAAUUGACUUUUGACCGACACUCUGUCAAAAAAAAAAAGAACAAGUGAAAUCCAAUGUUUUCUAUAUACCUCAAGUAUACUUGCCCAUUUCAUAAAUCCCAUCUGAAUCCACUGUAAACGGUUUUGUUAAUUUCAAUUUAUAAUUUAAAAAAACCAGACACAAUUAAAACAAAUUGAAUGUAUUUAGAUAAAUUUUAACAUUUUUAAUAUACAUUAAAUUAAAAAAAUUAUGCUUAUUCUGUAAAUGUUUUUGUUACCAUUAUAUACAGAUGAUAUAAAUGCUACAACCUACAUUUAAAAUAAAUGUUGAUAUUUGGAAGUGAUUUGGUGAGGUAACUGUGAUGCAUGUUUUUAUUGUAAUAACACAAGUACUGACGACAGAGAUCUCUCUGUACCUGUGAUGUAAACCAACCAUGUCACCCUGAACAUAGUCAUGUUGCACAUAUAUUGUCAAGUAUAAAUGUUUAUAUAUUAUAUGGGUAUUAAGCAUUUUACUUUCUUCUGUUUAGUCAUUAGAUUUUAUUACCAGUUCAGCAGUUGUAAAUGGCAAUAAAUGUAUCAUCUUUAUAAAAAAUC
RNAcentral lists this unclassified non-coding RNA (9093 nucleotides) under Gigantopelta aegis. Its description in RNAcentral is "tetraspanin-5-like, transcript variant X1". The record is from RNAcentral. Lineage: Eukaryota; Metazoa; Mollusca; Gastropoda; Neomphalida; Peltospiridae.